CCUACGGGUGGCAGCAGUUUCGAAUCAUUCACAAUGGGCGAAAGCCUGAUGGUGCGACGCCGCGUGAGGGAUGAAGGUCUUCGGAUUGUAAACCUCUGUCACCGGGGAAGAAACGCUUCAUGUUAAUAGCAUGAAGCCUGACUUAACCCGGAGAGGAAGCAGUGGCUAACUCUGUGCCAGCAGCCGCGGUAAUACAGAGACUGCAAGCGUUAUUCGGAUUCACUGGGCGUAAAGGGUGCGCAGGCGGCCGUGUGUGUGAGGCGUGAAAGCCCGGGGCUUAACCCCGGAAUUGCACCUCAAACUACAUGGCUAGAGCAUUGGAGAGGGUAGCAGAAUUCAUGGUGUAGCAGUGAAAUGCGUAGAUAUCAUGAGGAAUACCAGAGGCGAAGGCGGCUACCUGGACAAUUGCUGACGCUCAGGCACGAAAGCGUGGGGAGCAA
This 440-nucleotide ribosomal RNA is filed under the name uncultured bacterium. Its description in RNAcentral is "bacterial SSU rRNA". It matches the Rfam family "Bacterial small subunit ribosomal RNA", at positions 338 to 771 of the family's 1533-position model. The record is from RNAcentral.